RNAcentral lists this ribosomal RNA (302 nucleotides) under uncultured bacterium. RNAcentral's name for it is "partial 16S ribosomal RNA". It matches the Rfam family "Bacterial small subunit ribosomal RNA", at positions 508 to 807 of the family's 1533-position model. The record is from RNAcentral.
GCAGCCGCCGCGGGAAUACGUAGGGUGCAAGCGUUAAUCGGAAUUACUGGGCGUAAAGCGUGCGCAGGCGGUUAUAUAAGACAGAUGUGAAAUCCCCGGGCUCAACCUGGGAACUGCAUUUGUGACUGUAUAGCUAGAGUACGGCAGAGGGGGAUGGAAUUCCGCGUGUAGCAGUGAAAUGCGUAGAUAUGCGGAGGAACACCGAUGGCGAAGGCAAUCCCCUGGGCCUGUACUGACGCUCAUGCACGAAAGCGUGGGGAGCAAACAGGAUUAGAUACCCGCGUAGUCCCUGUCUCUUAUAC